RNAcentral lists this transfer RNA (77 nucleotides) under Candidatus Bathyarchaeota archaeon. RNAcentral describes it as "tRNA-Gly". It matches the Rfam family "tRNA". From Rfam's summary of the family: Transfer RNA (tRNA) molecules are approximately 80 nucleotides in length. Their secondary structure includes four short double-helical elements and three loops (D, anti-codon, and T loops). RNAcentral also lists the same sequence under 9 other names. The record is from RNAcentral. Lineage: Archaea; Thermoproteati; Candidatus Bathyarchaeota.
GCGGUAAUAGUACAGCUUGGUUAGUACAUAGGCUUGCCAAGUCUAGGACCCGGGUUCAAAUCCCGGUUACCGCACCA